Molecule: ribosomal RNA, 497 nt
Filed under: uncultured bacterium
Lineage: Bacteria
Description: partial 16S ribosomal RNA
Rfam family: Bacterial small subunit ribosomal RNA
Source: RNAcentral
GAUGAACGCUGGCGGCGUGCCUAAUACAUGCAAGUCGAGCGAACGGACGAGAAGCUUGCUUCUCUGAUGUUAGCGGCGGACGGGUGAGUAAGACGUGGAUCACCUACCUAUAAGACUGGGAUAAUUUCGGGAAACCGGAGCUAAUACCGGAUAAUAUUUUGAACCGCAUGGUUCAAAAGUGAAAGACGGUCUUGCUGUCACUUAUAGAUGGAUCCGCGCUGCAUUAGCUAGUUGGUAAGGUAACGGCUUACCAAGGCAACGAUGCAUAGCCGACCUGAGAGGGUGAUCGGCCACACUGGAACUGAGACACGGUCCAGACUCCUACGGGAGGCAGCAGUAGGGAAUCUUCCGCAAUGGGCGAAAGCCUGACGGAGCAACGCCGCGUGAGUGAUGAAGGUCUUCGGAUCGUAAAACUCUGUUGUUAGGGAAGAACAGAUGUGUAAGUAACUGUGCACGUCUUGACGGUACCUAAUCAGAAAGCCACGGCUAACUACGUG